AAAUCCAUGAGUUAGGAGAGGUACCAUGUUAAUGAAGGUGGUUUUCCUAGGGUGAGUCUCACCCUUGCCCCUCCUGAUAUGCUGACCCGUGCAAUUUCCGCAAAUCUGAGAAACUUGACUGCACAAUUUGUGGUAAUGGGGGACUGCAUUCACACUAUCCCCUG
Equus asinus (donkey) is the source of this 164-nucleotide small nuclear RNA. Its record names the gene U1. It matches the Rfam family "U1 spliceosomal RNA". Rfam says of the family: U1 is a small nuclear RNA (snRNA) component of the spliceosome (involved in pre-mRNA splicing). Its 5' end forms complementary base pairs with the 5' splice junction, thus defining the 5' donor site of an intron. NCBI's taxonomy places the organism in Eukaryota, Metazoa, Chordata, Mammalia, Perissodactyla, Equidae. The record is from Ensembl.